This 477-nucleotide ribosomal RNA is filed under the name uncultured Methanomethylovorans sp. RNAcentral's name for it is "bacterial SSU rRNA". It matches the Rfam family "Archaeal small subunit ribosomal RNA", at positions 862 to 1338 of the family's 1478-position model. The record is from RNAcentral. Lineage: Archaea; Methanobacteriati; Methanobacteriota; Methanomicrobia; Methanosarcinales; Methanosarcinaceae.
UGAAUUGACGGGGAGCACUACAACGGGUGGAGCCUGCGGUUUAAUUGGACUCAACGCCGGAAAACUCACCGGGGGCGACAGCAAUAUGUAGGUCAAGCUAAAGACUUUACCAGAAUCGCUGAGAGGAGGUGCAUGGCCGUCGUCAGUUCGUACUGUGAAGCAUCCUGUUAAGUCAGGCAACGAGCGAGACCCGUGCCCACUGUUGCCAGCAUGUCCUUCGGGACGAUGGGUACUCUGUGGGGACCGCCGAUGCUAAAUCGGAGGAAGGUGCGGGCUACGGUAGGUCAGUAUGCCCCGAAUCUCCCGGGCUACACGCGGGCUACAAUGACUGGGACAAUGGGCUCCUACCCCGAAAGGGGAUGGUAAUCUCAUAAACCCAGCCGUAGUUCGGAUCGAGGGCUGCAACCCGCCCUCGUGAAGCUGGAAUCCGUAGUAAUCGCGUUUCAACAUAGCGCGGUGAAUACGUCCCUGCUCCUU